AGCUGCCCAGACAGGGGCGGGUGGAUGAAGCAGAAAAAUAACUGGUUGGUGAUGUUAUUUUAAGGCAGAGCUGAUACCAACAAGGGGCUUUAGAGAACACAUAUCUGUGAGGAUGAAGACUUUGAGUGCUGCUCUUGUUUUGCUGAGUCUCAUCUCAGUGGGCCAGCCUGCAUCGCUGGCCUGUGAGAAGCUGUUAAAGCCAGUCGACCAACGUCCAGAUCUGAUUGGGAGGUGGCACUUUAUAGCUGUGUCCACAGAGUUUUGCCUGUCUUCAACAUUAGUCAGUGCUUUAUUUUCCCCAAGUGCCGCAGUGGAUGUAAUUUCUAAGGGCGAACCAAACCUCUAUGGUGAUACUACUUAUUUGAAAGCGAAUGGAGUUUGUAUCAAUGGAACCUCAAGAUUUCUCUAUGCAAACAGCAGCAUAUUUGAACUCGACAGUGAAAAUGCCACAGUUGAUCAACCAGACGUGCUGCUGCACACUGGCUGUCCUGACUGCCUCGUCUCUAAAGAGGAUAAAAGUCAUCUUUUGCUCUUCAGUAGACGAACAGCUGUUUCUGCUGCUGAGCUGACGGAGUUUGAGACACAGGCAGAGUGUCUGGGAUGGUCUAAACCCCAACUCCUCAACACUGAUCAUGAUUAUGAAAAGUGUGUGCAAUUUGACGAAGAUAUGGAUGAGGAUAAAUUAAGCGAAGUGCUUCUGAGUUUCUUUCAGAAGACGCUUGAAAGGAUGAAAACCACAUAUCACUUGUUAACCAAAUGCAUGGCAGAGGGUUUUAUUUCAUAUUACCCCUCAUUGUUUUAAGAACUAAAUGUCCAGUGCAUGCUGAACUUUAUUUUCAUAUCUAAAUAUGACUUUUAAUCUAUAUAUGAAUGCCUCUUUUAAUUACUGAAUUGAGCUUUUUUUUCUUCAUUUAGAAGAAAAAGUUUUUUAAAUAAAAGUCUGUACGUCCAUGUAUGUUAAAAAUUUCUUUGCAAUUUAUGUGUGAGGCUCCAUAUAGACAUCAGUGUUUCGAACCAUGUAAUACAAAUAACAAACAACUAAAUAUCAAUGAUAGGAUAAUAGUGCAAACCAGGUAUUAUGUUUACCAUGAUAAUUUGUGGUGUAACUGUUAAAAAACAAUCACAGAUUGGUUUGUAACCUAUUUUGGAACCACAUUUGAUGCAUUUAUUUUAGGUUCUAAAUUUCUUUUCUUAGUUUUGUCUUAUUUUAAGUUUCAUAUAGCCAGAAAUUGGUGCUUUUAGCUCUUAAAAGACUCCUUGGCUCCAACAUUUGAACAGAAAUGAUGGCUUAUUGUAACUGUUGUUGUAAAAUCAAAAGUAAAAGGAUAAAAACAGAUAUUAUUGUUUUUAUAUUUUCCACAAAUUCUUAACAGUAAGUUGCUUUUCUUUGCUUUUACAUUUCAAUAAAUAUUUCUCAAAUCCUUAUGAG
Molecule: long non-coding RNA, 1429 nt
Organism: Astatotilapia calliptera (eastern happy)
Lineage: Eukaryota; Metazoa; Chordata; Actinopteri; Cichliformes; Cichlidae
Source: Ensembl